UACGUAGGGCGCAAGCGUUGUCCGGAAUCAUUGGGCGUAAAGAGCUCGUAGGUGGUCUGUUACGUCUGCUGUGAAAUCCUAGGGCUUAACCCUGGGCCUGCAGUGGAUACGGGCAGACUAGAGGUAGGUAGGGGAGAACGGAAUUCCUGGUGUAGCGGUGAAAUGCGCAGAUAUCAGGAGGAACACCGGUGGCGAAGGCGGUUCUCUGGGCAGAUACUGACGCUGAGACGCGAAAGCGUGGGUAGCAAACAGG
This 253-nucleotide ribosomal RNA is filed under the name uncultured bacterium. Its description in RNAcentral is "partial 16S ribosomal RNA". It matches the Rfam family "Bacterial small subunit ribosomal RNA", at positions 524 to 776 of the family's 1533-position model. The record is from RNAcentral.